This is a long non-coding RNA of Cyprinus carpio carpio, 1552 nucleotides long. Lineage: Eukaryota; Metazoa; Chordata; Actinopteri; Cypriniformes; Cyprinidae. The record is from Ensembl.
CUGCCAGUUUCCCCAAUUGUAUUUCGGCAACCCGGGUUGCCAGUUGGUGGAAAACACAGUGUAUUUGAUUGUCAAAUGCGAUUUGUUCCUGUUUGUGUCAUCAAUCUGGCAACCUAUGUGUGCGUCAAGUCUGAGGAGGAGGGGCCAGGUGAAAAAACCCUCUCUGAUAUUUUGAAUUUGUGGGGUUUACAGCAGGGCGGUCUGAGGUUGGAGUGAUAUGUGGAGGGGUUCCUCAAGCUCUCUAACCGGGUGAGCUGGCAUGAUGCCCCUCUAGGUGCAUGCUCCCUGCUGGGGUUGGAUGAUGAGAUAAUCCGCCGUGAACUUCUGACUGGUGAUUUUCCUUUGAUCGAGCUGAUUAAUCUCGUACUGUUCUUAAAUGGUUCUGAUUUGGAGGUUGAGGAAGUAAAAAGACUUCCCAAGCCUCGUUAUCCAACCAACUCCUGAAUGCGCUGCAUCUCCCCAGCUCACCCUACGCCGAGAACCUCCACAUACCUCUCCAACGGCUCCUACUGCCUGCCUAGCCCCAAAUUCCCAGCUGUCCUCCAAAACUCCACUGGAGUACUCAGCCCAGGAGCCGGACAUUCAUGUGACACUCGCUCCAGUGACAGCUCCUCGUAAGCACUUAUCUGUUCCCCAGUUAAGUCCAGGAUGGCCUUCUAAUCCCAGAGCUCACUCCUGUGUCGGCUCCAGCCCCAGAGUUUGCUCUGGUGUCGGCUCCAGCCCCAGAGUUUGCUCCGGUGUUGGCUCCAGCCCCAGAUCUUGCUCAGGUGUCGGCUCCAGCCCAAGAACUUGCUCCGGUGUCAGCUCCAGCCCCAGAGCUCGCUCCAGUGUCGGCUCCAGCCCCAGAGCCCGCAACUCAGAGCUCAUGGAUAUGGCUUUACCCUCGGCUUUCUCCAUGCCUAUCCUCACUCCAGAGCCUCCUUCGUCUCCGCUGGUCCUGUCCCACCCUCCAUCGUCUCCUGAGCACCCUUUGUUAGCCAGCUCUGCUCGUCCAGAGUGCCCUUAAGUGCCUGCUCCACCAGAACCCACUCCUCCUGAGUGACCCCAAGGAAUCCUAGAUUCCCCCAAUUUUUGGGGGGAGGGGGGCAUAUACAUAGGAUCUGCCAUGGUCUACUGAUCCACCAUGGCUCCCGGAGCUCCCAGAUCCGCCCUGGAGGCUCUCCUUGUCUCCACUCUGUUCCAAUCCUGCACCAGCCUCCAGAGUGCCUGCCCUCCCUCCUCGAUGGUAUUGUUACGGUGUGGGGUACGCCUUCCUGGAGGGAGGAGUAAUGUUAGGGUUAUGUUUAGUUUUUGUUUUGAUUUUCAUUGUUUUCAGUUCACCUGUGACCUAGUUUUAUAUUAACUCCUAAUUGUCAUUUCGUUCACAUGUGUUUGAUUUAAUUAACUCAUUAGUUCUAUUGUUUGCUCCCCGUCAAAUACUCUCAGUUCUCCCCUUAGCCUUGGUCCGUUCUACUUUAAGUUUAUUUGUGUUUUCUUGCGGUUUUCUGACUUGUAGUUAUUAAAUCAAGUUUACUGAAAUAGCACAUUUUGCCUUCGUCUGCCUUCCUUGGAC